Long non-coding RNA from Oryza sativa Japonica Group (Japanese rice), 708 nucleotides. RefSeq lists it as uncharacterized. NCBI's taxonomy places the organism in Eukaryota, Viridiplantae, Streptophyta, Magnoliopsida, Poales, Poaceae. The record is from RefSeq and is a predicted model, not a curated record.
CUCACUUGCUCACCUCGCACACUGUUCGCCUCACACGAUGAGCUCGAGAGGCCGACCACGAGCUCCGGCGGCGGCGGCGGCGGCGGAAAGCGCAGCGGUUCCCGGUCGUCGGCCGGCCAGGUCUUAUAGAGAGAAAGGCUUGGCAGCCAGGUUUCGCGCGAGGGCCGACGUUGCCUGCACAGAUCUGGCUCAGGUGGUAGCCGUCGGCCGGUCAGAUCCGGCGUGGGGAGUCAGGCGGGACAGCGGUGACUCGGAGGGAGGGCGAAACGUCGAUUCACGCUUCAGUUCUUGUUCCGAUCUGCAGCCCCUGGGCCGUUGGAGUGAUUGUUGGAAGCUCACGCAUUGAGAGAGUGGCAAAUGGCCAAACGCUCAAUCCAUCCAUGCUCACAUCACUCAAGAUUAGUUAUAAAGAGUUAAAGACAGUACCUAACUACCUGGAUUGGUGAUAUAAUUGGAAGGUAGGAAGGAUGAUCUUGCUGCAACAAGAAGUGCGUGUCACAUUAAAUCGAUUAUGUUGCGUGUACAAUAAACAGAUGCUGUUUUCUUUCAAUAUAUAUAAAUACCACCAAGAUGGAAAAUCAACCUAUAGAGCAUACAAAUAGUUAUGUUAUUAUAUACUGUAAUAUGUUCAGAAUAGCAAGUGUUUCUGAAUUAAGUGAUGGGAAAGCAAUAAAUCUGCUUGCACCAUGAUUAAUUGCUACAGUUUCA